This is a long non-coding RNA of Leptopilina boulardi, 1421 nucleotides long. RefSeq lists it as uncharacterized. The transcript is spliced from 2 exons. The record is from RefSeq and is a predicted model, not a curated record. Lineage: Eukaryota; Metazoa; Arthropoda; Insecta; Hymenoptera; Figitidae.
GGCCCGACUAUGGCUGCCGACCGUCGGCUAUGAUAGUCGGCCCAACUAUGGCAGCCUUGGUCGGCCCGACUAUGGCUGCCGAUGGUCGGGCCAACUAGCGAAUUGAUAACGUCGGCCGACCUAUGGUCGACUAAGUCGGGCCAACUAUGGGUACCAUAGUUGGGCCGACCUUGGCUGCCGACCAUCCAACUUGACGGUCGGCAGCCAUAGUCGGCCCGACUAUGGCUGCCAUGGUUGGGCCAACCUUGGCAGCUAAAAUUUUGCCGACCAUAAACAUUAAAAUAUAAAAAUUUGUUAUACAAAUAACAUAUAUUAGUAAUCAUUUUAAAUUCAUUAUACAUUUAUUUUAUAUACUUAAACACUAAACGCAAUCGUAAACAUACAUAUAUACAAAUUAAAAUUUUUAACGCUCGCAGGGAUCGAACUCGCAACCUAACGCACCGCAGUCUAAUACGCUAACCACUACACUACGCAAUGACAUAUGAGUCACGGAGAAAAAUAAAUGUUAUAAGCUACAGCUUGAAAAAAAUUAAAGUUAGUAAUUCAAAAUAAUAAAUUAAUCACAUAUAACCUUUUUUCUUUUUAAAUUAAUCAAUUACAAGUAAAUUAACAAAAACAUUUUACAUUUGUCAAUGGUAGGAGAGAAAUUUACUUUAUGAUGGUCGGCCCAACUAUGGCAGCCAAGGUUGGACCGACCUUGGCUGCCAAGGUCGUACCGACCAUUGUCCCCCAUGGUCGGCCCAACUAUGGCAGCCAAGGUUGGCCCAACUAUGGCUGCCAAGGUUGUGCCAACCAUUUUCCCCUUAGUCGGCCCAACUGUGGCUGCCAUAGUUGGACCGACUAUGGGGAAGAAUGGUUGGCCCAACUAUGGCUGCCAAGGUUGUGCCGACCAUAAUCCCCCAUAGUCGGCCCAACUAUGGCUGCAAUGGUCGGCCCAACUGUGACUGCCGACGUCGGCAGCCAUAGUCGGCCCAACUUUGGGUGCAAAUAUUUACCAUGGUCGGCCCAACUCUGGCUGCCGACCGGUCGGCAGCCAGAGUUGGGCCGACCAUGGGCCGACGAACCAACUCUGGCGGCCGACCGAAAUUCGCACCUGGGUAAAAGGUAGAGUUACAUUCAGCUUACGAGUAUAACUAUUUUGAACGUCGACUCAUCAUUUUACAGCUAGGUUAUUCGAGUUGCCUAAGCUAAGGCAGAAGUUCUGAAAUUUCGUGUAAACUACUGUUUUCUCGGCUUUAUUGUUAAAUGAUGCUUUCAGUUUAGAUGUAUAGUAGGAUUAAUAAUUCACUUUAUAAUUAUUUAUUUAUUAAUAAAUUAAUAAUUCGAGUGAAAAUUCUAAUUUAGUUAAAAAGAAAUUAAAAAUUUAGAAACUAUAAUUAAUUAAAUUUUUCAAAAGCUUGAAUAAACUUUUUUCAAUUUAA